RNAcentral lists this ribosomal RNA (188 nucleotides) under uncultured bacterium. RNAcentral describes it as "partial 16S ribosomal RNA". It matches the Rfam family "Bacterial small subunit ribosomal RNA", at positions 1305 to 1500 of the family's 1533-position model. The record is from RNAcentral.
CUGCAACUCGACUCCAUGAAGCUGGAUUCGCUAGUAAUCGCGCAUCAGCCAUGGCGCGGUGAAUACGUUCCCGGGCCUUGUACACACCGCCCGUCAAGCCAUGGAAGCCGGGGGUGCCUGAAGUGCGUGACCGCAAGGAGCGCCCUAAGGUAAAACCGGUGACUGGGGCUAAGUCGUAACAAGGUACC